This 578-nucleotide ribosomal RNA is filed under the name Minervarya cf. nilagirica 030610-07. Its description in RNAcentral is "Fejervarya cf. nilagirica 030610-07 partial 16S rRNA". It matches the Rfam family "Bacterial large subunit ribosomal RNA", at positions 1800 to 2609 of the family's 2925-position model. The record is from RNAcentral. Lineage: Eukaryota; Metazoa; Chordata; Amphibia; Anura; Dicroglossidae.
CUGUUUACCAAAACAUCGCCUCUUGCCAUAUUUUAUAAGAGGUCCAGCCUGCCCAGUGACAAUUUAACGGCCGCGGUAUUCUGACCGCGCGAAGGUAGCAUAAUCACUUGUUCUUUAAAUGGGGACUAGUAUCAACGGCAUCACGAGGAUUUUUCUGUCUCCUUUUUCUAGUCAGUGAAACUGAUCUCCCCGUGAAGAAGCGGGGAUAGCGCUAUAAGACGAGAAGACCCCAUGGAGCUUUAAACCCAGUUACACCUCAAACUCCCCUUUCCCUCAAAGUUUUUAUGAUUUGUCUUCUGGUUUUAGGUUGGGGCGACCGCGGAGUAUAACUUAACCUCCACAACGCACGGAACUUUUUCUUAUCCUAGAGCCACACCUCAAAGAAUUAACACAUUGACGUUAAUGAUCCAAUUAUUUUGAUUAAUGAACCAAGUUACCCUGGGGAUAACAGCGCAAUCCAUUUCUAGAGCCCCUAUCGACAAAUGGGUUUACGACCUCGAUGUUGGAUCAGGGUGUCCCAGUGGUGCAGCCGCUACUAACGGUUUGUUUGUUCAACAAUUAAACCUACGUGAUCUGAU